This 253-nucleotide ribosomal RNA is filed under the name uncultured bacterium. Its description in RNAcentral is "partial 16S ribosomal RNA". It matches the Rfam family "Bacterial small subunit ribosomal RNA", at positions 524 to 776 of the family's 1533-position model. The record is from RNAcentral.
UACGUAGGGUGCUAGCGUUAAUCGGAAUUACUGGGCGUAAAGCGUGCGCAGGCGGUUAUGCAAGACAGAUGUGAAAUCCCCGGGCUUAACCUGGGAACCGCAUUUGUGACUGCAUAGCUGGAGUACGGCAGAGGGGGAUGGAAUUCCGCGUGUAGCAGUGAAAUGCGUAGAUAUGCGGAGGAACACCGGUGGCGAAGGCGGCAUCCUGGACCGGUAUUGACGCUGAGGCGCGAAAGCUAGGGGAGCAAACGGG